This 443-nucleotide ribosomal RNA is filed under the name Streptococcus pyogenes. RNAcentral's name for it is "partial 23S ribosomal RNA". It matches the Rfam family "Bacterial large subunit ribosomal RNA", at positions 1393 to 1831 of the family's 2925-position model. The record is from RNAcentral. Lineage: Bacteria; Bacillati; Bacillota; Bacilli; Lactobacillales; Streptococcaceae.
AAGCUGAGGCCGACAGGCGUAGGCGAUGGAUAACAGGUUGAUAUUCCUGUACCACCUAUAAUCGUUUUAAUCGAUGGGGGGACGCAGUAGGAUAGGCGAAGCGUGCGAUUGGAUUGCACGUCUAAGCAGUAAGGCUGAGUAUUAGGCAAAUCCGGUACUCGUUAAGGCUGAGCUGUGAUGGGGAGAAGACAUUGUGUCUUCGAGUCGUUGAUUUCACACUGCCGAGAAAAGCCUCUAGAUAGAAAAUAGGUGCCCGUACCGCAAACCGACACAGGUAGUCAAGAUGAGAAUUCUAAGGUGAGCGAGCGAACUCUCGUUAAGGAACUCGGCAAAAUGACCCCGUAACUUCGGGAGAAGGGGUGCUCUUUAGGGUUAACGCCCAGAAGAGCCGCAGUGAAUAGGCCCAAGCGACUGUUUAUCAAAAACACAGCUCUCUGCUAAAU